Molecule: ribosomal RNA, 816 nt
Filed under: Triticum aestivum (bread wheat)
Lineage: Eukaryota; Viridiplantae; Streptophyta; Magnoliopsida; Poales; Poaceae
Description: partial small subunit ribosomal RNA
Source: RNAcentral
AUGUGGAUCGCCUUGUGGAAACUGAAGGUUAUCCCCAGAGUCCGUGUGUUUUGGUGGCGGGUCUUACGUGGAAUUCUGCCGAACUACGCUACCCUUCAGCAUCGUCAUAUUAGGAUGACGGCAGUGUGUGAUCUAUGCAAGGCGGCAGUGGAAGACUUGCGACAUGCACUGAUAAAUUGUUCACAUGCCCGGCUGUUUUGGGCAGCAGCCAGAGACUUCUUGGGUCUCAAAUUACCAAGGCUACACCCUGCCACUUGGGCGAGGGAUGUGCUGAUGGACGACAUCAUCGAAAACCAAGACAGAUGCAAAAUUGUUACUAUUAUGCAUGCAAUAUGGUCCGAUCGAAAUCGAUGGACUCAUGACAAGGUGUCAUAUGAUCCAGUGCAGGCGGUAAAAUUAGUUCGUGAUGAUCUUAUUAUGCUUGACAUUCCGAAGCCUUCACGCGGUGUGUCGGGGGCCCAGUGGCGUCUGCCUGAUGUGGGGUGGAUCAAGAUCAACACGGAUGGUGCUAUCAACAGCGAAGCUCGGUGUGCAGGAGGGGCCGGGAUAGCCCUUUCUCACCUGCCGUUUAUCGGAGCUUGGAGUAAACCUUUCCAAGGGGUGACAGAUCCCCUCAUUGCCGAAGCCUUAGCUCUACGGGAGGGAGUCAUCUUCGCUCAGCUAUGUGGGUUCUCACAUGGGGUGAUGGAAACUGAUUGUUUAGAGGUUGUCAACCUCUGGUCGUCGCACGACAGUUUGAGACCUAUGCGCCAAACAGGCAUGUUCCUUAUUGGUUUCAGAUUGUUGGCUGGAGGGCUGUCCAUCCUUUCUCCUUAG